CCUACGGGAGGCAGCAGUAGGGAAUCUUCCGCAAUGGACGAAAGUCUGACGGAGCAACGCCGCGUGAGCGAUGAAGGCCUUCGGGUCGUAAAGCUCUGUUGUUAGGGAAGAAUAAGUGCUAGUUGAAUAAGCUGGCACCUUGACGGUACCUAACCAGAAAGCCACGGCUAACUACGUGCCAGCUAGCACUUGCGGUAACAUACGUAGGUGCGCAAGCGGUUAGUCCGGAAUUAUUGGGCGUAAAGCGCGCGCAGGCGGUUUCUUAAGUCUGAUGUGAAAGCCCCCGGCUCACCCGGGGAGGGUCAUUGGAAACCUGGGAAACUUGAGUGCAGAAGAGGAAAGUGGAAUUCCCAGUGUAGCGGUGAAUGCGUAGAGAUUUGGAGGAACACCAGUGGCGAAGCGACUUUCUGUUCUGUAACUGACGCUGAGGCGCGAAAGCGUGGGGAGCAAACAGGAUUAGAUACCCUGGUAGUCCACGCUGUAAACGAUGAGUGCUAAGUGUUAGAGGGUUUCCGCCCUUUAGUGCUGAAGUUAACGCAUUAAGCACUCCGCCUGGGGAGUACGGUCGCAAGACUGAAACUCAAAGGAAUUGACGGGGGCCCGCACAAGUGGUGGAGCAUGUGGUUUCAAUUCGAAGCAACGCGAAGAACCUUAC
This 655-nucleotide ribosomal RNA is filed under the name bacterium HZ35-6. RNAcentral's name for it is "bacterial SSU rRNA". It matches the Rfam family "Bacterial small subunit ribosomal RNA", at positions 338 to 974 of the family's 1533-position model. The record is from RNAcentral.